RNAcentral lists this long non-coding RNA (1179 nucleotides) under Danio rerio (zebrafish). RNAcentral describes it as "lncRNA si:ch73-158n7.2 (ENSDARG00000099091.2)". Lineage: Eukaryota; Metazoa; Chordata; Actinopteri; Cypriniformes; Danionidae. The record is from RNAcentral.
CAACACACAACUCCAGGACACGGAGACGUCAGAUAAGUUGGAUGACAGCAACUGGUUUGAUUCAAAUCCAGAAGUAAGUGAUCUACUCAUGACACCCUUACCGGACACCCCGUUAAAACAGCCGGCUUCAAAAAAGACGAAAAGAGAUCUGUUAGACCACCAUGACAGCUCGUCAGAGAUUCUGUCAGCGAUCCACGAACUCUCCGGGAAAUAUGAUAAAAUGCUCCAAAAAAUAUCUGCCAUUGAAUUAUCUACCGGAGCAACAGCGAAACAGAUGGAAACUUUAUCUUCGACCGUGACGCAACUUGUAAUGGACGUUGCUGUACAUAAAGAAUCCUUAUCUGCUAUAUCCACCGAGAUUCAAGCAAUCAAAAAGACGACCAAAUCCAUGAAACUAGAACUCGGGGAAUGCAAAAGAUACAGCUGGAAAUGGACCCUGAAAUUACAUGGUGUCAAGGAGAAAGAGGCAGAGAACACCCGAGGAGUGACAGUUGAUAUUCUCAGCAAUGUUGUUCCUGGAAUGAGUGAUGACUUAGAAAGAGUUAUCGACAUCGCACAUCGAGUUGGUCCAAAAAGGAUGGAUGGGAAACCCAGAUCUAUCAUCAUUCUCUUUGCACUUCGUCGUUUCAGAGACAUCAUCUGGCAAGCAGCCAAAGGAUGCAAAUUUUUAAACAGCAACCAACUCCGCCUGACAGAAGCGCUAUCCCCAGAAGAUCGUCUCGCCAGAGAGAAACUAUGGCCUCUGAUCAAACAAGCUAGAGAUAAGGGAAAGAAAGCUUCUUAUAGAAGCUCUUAUGCGUUAAUUGAUGGCCAAAAAUACAACUAUUCUGAAGUAGAAUAACUCUCUUGCACCAAGGAAUGUCAGUUUUCGGGUGCUAGCAAAUAACAUGUCUCUAUUUUGUGGGGGAAAAAAAAAAAAAAAAAAAAAAAAAAAAAAAAACCCUGUUGCUGAAUAGUUUAUGUAGCCAUAAUGUUCCAAUGGACCAAUAAUUUAACUAUACAUAGCCCAUCCUUAAAUUUGUAUGCAUACAUACUUUGAUAUUUUAAGGUGUAAAUUCUUGUUUUAAUGUUAUUAUACGUUGCUAGUUGCACAUUGUUCCUAUUCCUAUUUACUCUAAUUUCUGUUUAGUAGGUUUAGCUGUAGUGUUCGUUCUAGUUAUGGAAUACAAGUUUAAUUCA